CGUGCGUGCGUGUGUGUGUGUGUGUGUGUAUUUGAUGAUUGACUAGCCAAGUUUACAUGCAUAUAUCUGAAUAUUAAUGACCUUAUUUCUGAUAGCAUAGAGUUUUGAAUGAGUGCUUUGUUUCACGCUUCUCUUGAAUAAGAGAAACAGAGACAUGAUAAUGUAAGGAUCGAGGAGGUAUGCACAUGAAUUAAUUUUCAAAUAGAUAUCAUCGCUUUAAAUGGAACAUCUUGAAGCUUUCCUUCCCCACUAUAAAAACUGAGCGAGAUUUAUCUCAAUAAUGUUUCAGUUAUAAAAAACAAGAGAAACUAUCUGUGCAUACAAGUGUUUUAGAAGCUACAAUAUAGUAGUGGUCAGGAUAUAGGUUCCAUUUGUUUCAUCCAUCAUUAUAUAGUGUAAUUUCUGUGGAUUGAUACUAGUGACCACAAUGCACAUGCAAUACACUGGAAAACACUAAUACAAUUAUUGUUCACUCGGUUCGAUUGGUAAGUUUACCUUCUAUUAUAAUACAAGCAGUCUCCAGUAUAUGAUUUUGUUCAAAUGUCCAUUGUCGAAACCUAAACAGUAAGAAACCAGCAUGUAACCUGUUAGUCAUAAAUUCUGCAAGGUGUAAAAUUGAUAAUAUAGGUUCCAACAAAAACAACAAAAUUGUAGAAUGACAUAUCAACAUGUCAGUUAAGGGUUUAAAAAUAGCACAAAUUGGAGUAAAAUGUCCAUAUCGUGUAGUUCACAUUAGAAAACAACAAAACAAGUUAUUUCUCAACUUAUCUCAGCAAAGAAAUAAGUAAUGACUAAUGACAUGUAUAUUGUGUAGGGGCAGAGUUGAUAUGCUGCACUGUACCCAUAUGACUCUUGACCAACUGUUAUUUACCAUGUUCAGACAAAAUUCAGACACGCUUCUUUGCAGUUUCAUCUCUCUAUUGUCGGAUCGAUCUAAAGACACUAAAAGGAUAGGUAAAGAAUCAUUGUUUGCUAAUAAUCAAACAACUAUGAUCUAGGAAAGAUGUGUAGUUCUAUUGCAAACUGAGUAACUGAUGGACAUGGGUCUGAGAGAAUUCAAGAUAAACAGAGACAUGCAUAUAGUUGCACAUCAAAUUCGAAGAAAACGGGAAGGACUCACUGAUUCGAGGUAGUGGUCAAAGGGCGCAGCCGCUGGGAGAAACGCAAGACAGCGGGCAGAGAGCACCACCACUUGGGAGGAACGUGUAGUCACCACCAAGAAGAACGAGCCUCUGCCCGGAGCG
RNAcentral lists this long non-coding RNA (1244 nucleotides) under Triticum aestivum (bread wheat). RNAcentral describes it as "long non-coding RNA (TAES_LNC027796)". The record is from RNAcentral. Lineage: Eukaryota; Viridiplantae; Streptophyta; Magnoliopsida; Poales; Poaceae.